GACGAACGCUGGCGGCGUGCUUAACACAUGCAAGUCGAGCGAGUGAGUUCUUCGGAACGAUCUAGCGGCGGACGGGUGAGUAACACGUGGGCAACCUGCCUCAUAGAGGGGAAUAGCCUCCCGAAAGGGAGAUUAAUACCGCAUAAAAUUAUCGAGUGGCAUCACAUGAUAAUCAAAGGAGUAAUCCGCCAUGAGAUGGGCCCGCGGCGCAUUAGCUAGUUGGUGAGGUAACGGCCUACCAAGGCGACGAUGCGUAGCCGACCUGGGAGGGUGAUCUGCGAAAUUGGGACUGAGAAAGGGACCAGACUCCUACGGCAGGCAGCAGUGGGGAAUAUUGCACAAUGGGGGAUACCCUGAUGCAGCAACGCCGCGUGACUGAUGAAGGUCGUCGGAUUGUAGAGCUCUGUCUUUGGGGCCGAUGAUGACGGUACCCAAGGAGGAAGCCACGGCUAACUACGUGCCAGCAGCCGCGGUAA
This 476-nucleotide ribosomal RNA is filed under the name uncultured bacterium. RNAcentral describes it as "partial 16S ribosomal RNA". It matches the Rfam family "Bacterial small subunit ribosomal RNA", at positions 28 to 523 of the family's 1533-position model. The record is from RNAcentral.